This is a long non-coding RNA of Thrips palmi, 830 nucleotides long. RefSeq lists it as uncharacterized. The transcript has 3 exons. Lineage: Eukaryota; Metazoa; Arthropoda; Insecta; Thysanoptera; Thripidae. The record is from RefSeq and is a predicted model, not a curated record.
GUUUAGUGUGAAGAUGUCAAGGAGUGCAAUACACACAAUCCGAGCAGAGAUUUGUGAAAGGAUAUCGGGUCAAGUGUUUCAACAGUUAUCUGGCCAGCAGAAGGAGCGGUCUUUUGGUGUUAGGUGGACACAGGCUUGCAAGGAUCACAACAGGAGAAACAUGAGGAGAACUUUGAAUUGGAAUGAAAGCAGGUGUUUCAACAAUUAUCUGGCCAGUUAGAAAUGCUGUCUUAGGGUCUCAAGACAACUGCAUGUAAGGAUUACAACAAGACCAAUUUCAAGGAAAAUCUUUCUUGAGGAUACUGCUUGUUUGAGGUAGCAUCUGUUGAAACGGUUUGUGGUCUGCUUGCCUUCUGCCGCUAAGCACCAAUGGAGUAAGAUUGUUUCUGGAAUUGUCUGGGUGGGGAUUGACCAGAGUUCUAAAUUAUUAUUUCUUUUAUUUCCUAAUUUAAUCUGUGAGUGUUGAGAUGUCUCGGUAGAAUGCAUGCAUUUGUCAUAUUUAAAUUUUGUUGGUUCCAAGAAACCAACUGCAUUUUGUAUAAAUACAUGCAUUUGUCGUAUUUCUGGUUUUUUUUUUUGAAAAACUGGAAGGUGUGAGAAACCGAUAAAGAACUGGAAAAACAAGAGGACCUUCGUUAUUAUAUCUGAAGCAAGAAAGAUCUUGUCUGUUGGGAGAAACCGACUGUUCUUUGUGGAAAGGUCGUAGAAAGCAAACUCUCAUCAUUUUCUGGAAAUCUCUUGAACUACGAAGAAUUGUUGGUAAUUUCUGAGAUUUUCUACGAAGACUUCUGGCAACAUUUUUCACGACAAGUUCUUCGUCUUUUCCUGAA